This 253-nucleotide ribosomal RNA is filed under the name uncultured bacterium. RNAcentral describes it as "partial 16S ribosomal RNA". It matches the Rfam family "Bacterial small subunit ribosomal RNA", at positions 524 to 776 of the family's 1533-position model. The record is from RNAcentral.
UAAGGGGGGUGCAAGCGUUGCUCGGAAUUACUGGGCGUAAAGCGCGUGUAGGCGGUCUCGUGUGUCUGGCGUGAAAGCCCCGGGCUCACCCCGGGAAGUGCGUUGGAAACUGCGAGACUAGAGUUCCGGAGAGGAAGGUGGAAUUCCAGGUGUAGCGGUGAAAUGCGUAGAUAUCUGGAAGAACACCGGUGGCGAAGGCGGCCUUCUGGACGGUGUCUGACGCUGAGACGCGAAAGAGUGGGGAGCAAACAGG